UCCACAGUAACUCAGUGGUAGAGCUAUCGGCUGUUAACCGAUCGGUCGUAGGUUCGAGUCCUACCUGUGGAGCCA
This 75-nucleotide transfer RNA is filed under the name Staphylococcus aureus. RNAcentral describes it as "tRNA-Asn(gtt)". It matches the Rfam family "tRNA". Rfam says of the family: Transfer RNA (tRNA) molecules are approximately 80 nucleotides in length. Their secondary structure includes four short double-helical elements and three loops (D, anti-codon, and T loops). Further hydrogen bonds mediate the characteristic L-shaped molecular structure. tRNAs have two regions of fundamental functional importance: the anti-codon, which is responsible for specific mRNA codon recognition, and the 3' end, to which the tRNAs corresponding amino acid is attached (by aminoacyl-tRNA synthetases). tRNAs cope with the degeneracy of the genetic code in two manners: having more than one tRNA (with a specific anti-codon) for a particular amino acid; and 'wobble' base-pairing, i.e. permitting non-standard base-pairing at the 3rd anti-codon position. The record is from RNAcentral. Lineage: Bacteria; Bacillati; Bacillota; Bacilli; Caryophanales; Staphylococcaceae.